RNAcentral lists this ribosomal RNA (246 nucleotides) under uncultured bacterium. RNAcentral's name for it is "partial 16S ribosomal RNA". It matches the Rfam family "Bacterial small subunit ribosomal RNA", at positions 108 to 353 of the family's 1533-position model. The record is from RNAcentral.
GCGUAACGCGUAUGCAACCUGCCUGACACAGGGGGAUAAUCCGAAGAAAUUUGGUCUAAUACCCCAUAAUACCGAUAUAGGCAUCUAUGUUGGUUGAAAGCUUUGGUGGUGUCAGAUGGGCAUGCGUUGUAUUAGCUAGUUGGUGAGGUAACGGCUCACCAAGGCGAUGAUACAUAGGGGGACUGAGAGGUUAACCCCCCACACUGGUACUGAGACACGGACCAGACUCCUACGGGAGGCAGCAUG